UACAGCGACCAAGCGUGCACGGGCUUUAUCUUAAGCUGUUGUUUCGGUGCUGGGCUAGGCCUUCAUUACUGUCGUUGUGCUCCUCACGCUCACUGCAUGCAACUCAUUACACUGUUCAAAAUUAUCAUUUUGGCUCGGUAUAAAAUUGUUUAUUCUAAUUGAACGUGCACAUUGUGUCCAAUUUAUAUGUAUUAACAAAGACAUCGUUACCAUUUACUCCAAGAUCAACAUAAAGAGGGGCAAUGUCUUCAAGAGUAGAAAGAGGCCCAGUGUUUUCGUAACCCUGUUCACUUAGGAAAGAGUUGCAGCUUUCAUCAAAGAAA
Molecule: long non-coding RNA, 323 nt
Organism: Patiria miniata (bat star)
Lineage: Eukaryota; Metazoa; Echinodermata; Asteroidea; Valvatida; Asterinidae
Exons: 2
Source: RefSeq, a predicted model, not a curated record